Molecule: non-coding RNA, 21 nt
Filed under: Caenorhabditis elegans
Lineage: Eukaryota; Metazoa; Nematoda; Chromadorea; Rhabditida; Rhabditidae
Source: RNAcentral
UGGAGCGAUUCUUUGAAACUC